UAUGCAUGUACGUAAGCAUGCACGUACGUAUGUAUGCAUGUAUGUACAUAUGUAUGUGUGUGUGUAAUGUAAGUUUGUACGUAUGUAUGUGUGCGUCUUUUUGUGUAUGUGUAUCUGUGCACAUAUUUACGGCUUACGAUUAACCAACAGAACGUGACAAGAACAAGCAUCACCGGCGAGUUCCUUUUUCUCGGAGCAACAGGAAAGGGCACUCGACAGAACUGAAUCCAUACAGAUAGUGGAUGUUAACAACUUCGUUUACGAUGAAUAGAAGAAGGAUUGUCAUUUUCUUCCUGUUGUUCCUAAACUUGUAUUUCCUAUACAAGUCGGAUGUGCUGAUGACAAUCCGGGAGAAACAGGCCGUGGUAAGAGACACGAGUAGUGUUACUGUUUUUGUUAUCAUUG
Penaeus chinensis is the source of this 405-nucleotide long non-coding RNA. RefSeq lists it as uncharacterized. NCBI's taxonomy places the organism in Eukaryota, Metazoa, Arthropoda, Malacostraca, Decapoda, Penaeidae. The transcript has 3 exons. The record is from RefSeq and is a predicted model, not a curated record.